Molecule: long non-coding RNA, 92 nt
Organism: Sinocyclocheilus anshuiensis
Lineage: Eukaryota; Metazoa; Chordata; Actinopteri; Cypriniformes; Cyprinidae
Exons: 3
Source: RefSeq, a predicted model, not a curated record
CUGAGUCCAUGUCAGUUUGAUUCAGCAAUGCACAAAUGUUUGCUGUGAAACAAUAUUGCAUUUGCUUAAAAGCAGAUUACUUUGAAUUCCUA